This 74-nucleotide transfer RNA is filed under the name Myxococcales bacterium. Its description in RNAcentral is "tRNA-Gln". It matches the Rfam family "tRNA". From Rfam's summary of the family: Transfer RNA (tRNA) molecules are approximately 80 nucleotides in length. Their secondary structure includes four short double-helical elements and three loops (D, anti-codon, and T loops). Lineage: Bacteria; Pseudomonadati; Myxococcota; Myxococcia; Myxococcales. The record is from RNAcentral.
UGGGGCGUCGUCAAGCGGCAAGACUCCGGUUUUUGGUUCCGGCAUCCCAGGUUCGAAUCCUGGCGCCCCAACCA